This 334-nucleotide unclassified non-coding RNA is filed under the name soil metagenome. Its description in RNAcentral is "partial contains 5.8S ribosomal RNA, internal transcribed spacer 2, and large subunit ribosomal RNA". The stretch from base 1 to 120 matches the Rfam family "5.8S ribosomal RNA", at positions 35 to 154 of the family's 154-position model. The record is from RNAcentral.
GAUGAAGAACGUAGCGAAAUGCGAUACGUAAUGUGAAUGGCAGAAUUCAGUGAAUCAUCGAAUCUUUGAACGCACAUUGCGCCUGCCAGCACUCUGGCAGGCAUGCCUGUUCGAGCGUCAUUUCAACCAUCAAGCCCUAGGCUUGCGUUGGAGCCCUGCGGCUGCCGCAGGCCCCUAAAAGCAGUGGCGGGCUCGCUAUCACACCGAGUGCAGUAGAUUACUCUUCGCUCAGGGCGUGUGGCGGGUUCCAGCCGUGAAACCCCCUACUUCUCAAGGUUGACCUCGGAUCAGGUAGGAAUACCCGCUGAACUUAAGCAUAUCAAUAAGCGGAGGA